This 221-nucleotide long non-coding RNA is filed under the name Jatropha curcas. RNAcentral describes it as "long non-coding RNA (JCUR_LNC002709)". Lineage: Eukaryota; Viridiplantae; Streptophyta; Magnoliopsida; Malpighiales; Euphorbiaceae. The record is from RNAcentral.
AGGAAGCAGUGACGAUGAACAAGCGGCGGUCGAAACGGAACGACGCGCGGAAGAGAAAAGAGAAGUGGGGUGGAGAUGGAGAUUGGGCGGUGGCGGUGAUGAAGAGAGUUGUUUUAGAGAGGAAAGAGAGAGAUGAGAUCGAUUAGGGUAAGGAAUUGAGAGCGAAGCAGAUGAAGAGGCCAUGGAAGGGUGAUUUACAAGAACCACUGACCGCACGCGCN